UACAAGCACGAACGUAUACGUUUUGCAGUUUCGUGACGUUUUCUUCUCCAAUUGAUUCAGAGCAAAUUAACCGUCAUUUAACGAGCCGUUUGUUCCUACUUAAUCCUCACACCCUCCUCUCCAUUUCCCCUCAAACCACACAGAUCGAGAGUCCCCAGGCUGCUCAAAUUCGAGGUCGCAAUUCUGCGGUACCGCUGCAGUAUAUCGUCGAUUCCGCGACGGCUGCAAUUUCAUCUAUGAGCGCCGUCCGCGGAAAGAAUUUUUGGCGAGCGAUUCCGGCGAGAAACUCCGGCGAACCAGUGCGCCUCGAUGUCCACGUUUUCUUCACCAUCUCUUCCCGACGACGCACUUCAUCUGAUUGUGGUUGUGCUGAUUGCAACGAGUGUUUCUGCGAAGAGUGUACCAACUCCUCCUCUCACCAAGGCAAGUGACACACCAAUCACAAAUGUCCCAGUUUUAUAAAUGCACUGUAGUAUUUUUUUGUAGUAUACAUGUGUAGGGUUUUAUGCUUGCUAUGCAAUCCCAGUAGUCUAGAUACCCCUACUUGACUUUCUCUGUUGCCAUUAAAUUUAGU
Molecule: long non-coding RNA, 574 nt
Organism: Lolium perenne
Lineage: Eukaryota; Viridiplantae; Streptophyta; Magnoliopsida; Poales; Poaceae
Source: RefSeq, a predicted model, not a curated record